UCAGGCGUGGAGAGAGGAGCGCUUCAGAGGUGGCUUCAGAGAACCUACAUUCUCCAGCGUUGUGAUCUCAAUGCUGACCCUCCACACAGCGUCUCAAAAAUGAAGGACGACUGGCCCUUUCUCUUCUCCUUGAAGGGCCUUUUCUUGCAUUUCAGUGAGCUGACCGGAAUUCCUAUCCAGGAGAAGCUGCCAGCCGCCAUAGACAACAGGAGUCAGAACAUCAUGGAGUACUUCAAACAGCAGAAGACACAAGGGGUGGGGAAGGUUCUGGAAGCCUUCAAUGAAGAGAGUGGCAAAAAAAACAAAAAACAAAGCUGUCUGCACCAUCAUGUGGCUGCUUGCUCACUUUAAAGAGGGGGAUGGUAUCUUCCUUACGGCUGAUCCCUCUGCCACAGCUGCCGAUAUUGAGAGAGCUGUCACCCUGCCAAGCACACCUCGAUUAGUUGUACCAGGAGAGAUACUGCGCGGUGCAGACACAUGGAUUAUGUCCAUGGAAGGAUCAUGUGUAAUGGGGCCCCACAGCAACCUCCUGCAUGGAUUGGCAGCACUCUUCGCUGCCUACUAUGUCUUCAACUUGCAAUAUCCGUCAGAAGCCGCAAGCACACUUGAGUUCAUCCAGAGAGCCUUUUGCGGCAUAAAUCCCCAGACGGGCAUCAAGGCAGAGAAAAAACGAGGGCUGAACGCACCAGUUUGCACACUUUUGAGAAAACUGCUGGAUUUUGAAUUGGUGGGUAGGGACAUUAGAGGACAUUAGUGGACAGGGGACAUUAGAGGACAUUUGUGGACUGAGGACAUUAGUGGACAUUAGAGGACAUUAGUGGACAGGGGACAUUAGAGGACAUUUGUGGACAGAGGACAUUAGUGGACAUUUGUGGACGGGGACAUUAGAGGACAUUAGUGGACAGGGGACAUUAGAGGACAUUAGUGGACAUUUGUGGACGGGGACAUUAGAGGACAUUUGUGGACAGGGGAUAUUAGAGGACAUUAGUGGGCAGGGGACAUUAGUGGGCAGGGUACAUUAGAGGACAUUAGUGGGCAGGGGACAUUAGAGGACAUUUGUGGACAUUACAUUAUAAAAAAGUACACAAAACCAGGCUUAUUUCAGCCAUGUGUUAAUAAUUUUGUUAUGUUAAUUUUACAUGUUAAAGAUUGUUGUU
Long non-coding RNA from Perca flavescens (yellow perch), 1157 nucleotides. RefSeq lists it as uncharacterized. The record is from RefSeq and is a predicted model, not a curated record. The transcript is spliced from 4 exons. Lineage: Eukaryota; Metazoa; Chordata; Actinopteri; Perciformes; Percidae.